Xyrichtys novacula (pearly razorfish) is the source of this 8640-nucleotide non-coding RNA. NCBI's taxonomy places the organism in Eukaryota, Metazoa, Chordata, Actinopteri, Labriformes, Labridae. The record is from the annotation of a GenBank genome assembly.
CUUCGGAGGAGUUAGCGAAAUUCCAAUGUGUGCGGAUCGGCAAAAAAUGCGAAAUAGCCCUUUCACCGUACAUUUGACAGAUACGCCCGCACUGACUUUUUUGUAGAUCUUAUUGAGAUACAUGUGUGUGUCAAUUUUUGUGUCAAUAUGACAAAGCGUAAAGGCGUGACAGUCAAUAGUGUGAAUUUUCGCCUUAGGAGACAAGAAAAAAUGGACUUUUUUCUCCUGCCAUGGGGGGCGCUCUUUUGGGGAGUAAAAAUUCCUUCACAAAUGUGUUGAUGGCUGGACAUUGCAUCAUCCUAGAAAACUUGGAGGCCAGUGAGGACAAAAAUAAAAAGUUAUACGACUUUUAAGAAUGUGGAUUUCUGGGUUAUCUUUGGCGCCCCCUAGAACGUAAACCGUGGGAUGCAGCGUCAUGAUUUGUACAACUUUUAAUGGCCAUGGGGUGUAGAUUGGCCUGAGCAAAUUUGGUGCCGGUGGAACGAAAGCCUUCGGAGGAGUUAGCGAAAUUCCAAUGUGUGCGGAUCGGCAAAAAAUGCGAAAUAGCCCUUUAACCGUACAUCUGACAGAUACGCCCGCACUGACUUUUUUGUAGAUCUUAUUGAGAUACACGUGUGUGUCAAAUUUUGUGUCAUUUUGACAAAGCGUACAGGCGUGACACUCAAUCAUGUGAAUUUUUCACCUUAGGGGGCGCUAUGGAGCCAUUUUGCAUUUGAUUUUUUGGGCGACUUCAGAAUAUCGAAUUUUUCACCAGGCCCGGUCGUCCUGCCAAAUUUCAUGACUUUUCACCAGUGGGAAGUGGGCCAUUUUCCAGUUCAAAGGGGCAGAAAAAUAAUAAUAAGAACUAGGGCCCCGUUGGGGCACUGGCGGGCCCGAGCCAUGUCACGCCGCCCUCAGCGCGACCGCCUCCCCCACCCGAUCGCGUCACACUCAAGGUCCAAAGAUGGUGUGCGCACUUGUUUGUGGUCAUUUACCAUUAUAAUGAACGGGAGGCGCAGUUUCUACCAAAACGCUCGCUGCAGAAAAACUCCAUGUCCUAUUUGAAAAAAGUCUGGACCAUGAGUGAGGGCACAAACACAGCUAAGAUAUAUCCAAAUGGCAAGUUGCUCCUCCUUUCGCUUUUGCCGAGAGAGCAGUGCGUUUGAGCCAUUGAAUGAUGAACAGGAAAAACUUGACUUUAUUCUCCUGCCAUGGGGGGUGCUCUUUUAACGAGAAAAAACUCCUUCACAAAUGUGUUGAUGGCUGGACAUUGCAUCAUCCUAGAAAACAUGGAGGCCAGUGAGGACAAAAAUAAAAAGUUAUAAGACUUUUAAAUAUGUGGAUCUUAGGGUUAUCUUUGGCGCCCCCUAGAACCUAAACCGUGGGGUGCAGCGUCAUGAUUUGAAUAACUUUUAAUGGCCAUGGGGUGUAGAUUGGCCUGAGCAAAUGUGGUGCCGGUGGAACGAAAGCCUUCGGAGGAUUAAGCGAAAUUCCAAUGUGUGCGAAUCUGCAAAAAAUGCGAAAUAACCCUUUAACCGUACAUUUUACAGAUACGUGGCCAUUGACUUUUUCGAAGAUCUUAUUGAAAUACACGUGUAUGUAAAAUUUUGUGUCAAUACGACAAAACAUACAGGCGUAGCACUCAACAAUGUGUAUUUUCACCUUAGUGGACAAGAAAAAAUGGACUUUUUUCUCCUGCCAUGGGGGGGGCGCUCUUUUGGCGAGUAAAAAUUCCUUCACAAAUGUGUUGAUGGCUGGACAUUGCAUCAUCCUAGAAAACUUGGAGGCCAGUGGGGACAAAAAUAAAAAGUUAUAAGACUUUUAAAUAUGUGGAUUUUACGGUUAUCUUUGGCGCCCCCUAGAACCUAAACCGUGGGGUGCAGCGUCAUGAUUUGAAUAACUUUUAAUGGCCAUGGGGUGUAGAUUGGCCUGAGCAAAUGUGGUGCCGGUGGAACGAAAGCCUUAGGAGGAGUUAGCGAAAUUCCAAUGUGUGCGGAUCGGCAAAAAAUGCGGAAUAACCCUUUAACCGUACAUUUGACAGAUACGCGCGCAUUGACUUUUUCGUAGAUCUUAUUGAGAUACAUGUGUGUGUCAAUUUUUGUGUCAUUUUGCCAAAGCGUACAGGUGUUACACUCAACAAUGUGUAUUCUCACCUUAAGGGACAAGAAAAAAUGGACUUUUUUCUCCUGCCAUGGGGGGGCGCUCUUUUGGGGAGUAAAAAUUCCUUCACAAAUGUGUUGAUGGCUGGACAUUGCAUCAUCCUAGAAAACUUGGAGGCCAGUGAGGGCAAAAAUAAAAAGUUAUAAGACUUUUAAAUAUGUGGAUCUUAGGGUUAUCUUUGGCGCCCCCUAGAACCUAAACCGUGGGGUGCAGCAUCAUGAUUUGAAUAACUUUUAAUGGCCAUGGGGUGUAGAUUGGCCUGAGCAAAUGUGGUGCCGGUGGAACGAAAGCCUUCGGAGGAGUUAGCGAAAUUGCAAUGUGUGCGGAUCGGCAAAAAAUGCGAAAUAACCCUUUAACCGUACAUUUGACAGAUACGCCCGCACUGACUUUUUUGUAGAUCUUAUUGAGAUACAUGUGUGUGUCAAUUUUUGUGUCAUUUUGACAAAACAUACAGGCGUGACAGUCAAUAGUGUGAAUUUUAACCUUAGGGGGCGCUAUGGAGCCAUUUUGCAUUUUCUUGUUUGGGUGACUUCAGAAUAUCAAAUUUUUCACCAGGCCCGGUCGUCCUGCCAAAUUUCAUGAGUUUUCGCCAGUGGGAAGUGGGCCAUUUUCCAGUUCAAAGGGGAGGAAAAAUAAUAAUAAUAAUAAUAACAAAAGAAGGAAACAUGCAGGAACAAGAGGGCUCUCGCAGCUGCUUAGCAGCUACGCUCGGGCCCUAAGAAGAAGAACUAGGGCCCCGUUGGGGCACUGGCGGGCCCGAGCCGUGUCACGCCGCCCCCAGCGCGACCGCCUCCCCCACCCGAUCGCGUCACACUCAAGGUCCAAAGAUGGUGUGCGCACUUGUUUGUGGUCAUUUACCAUUAUAAUGAACGGGAGGCGCAGUUUCUACCAAAACGCUCGCUGCAGAAAAACUCCAUGUCCUAUUUGAAAAAAGUCUGGACCAUGAGUGAGGGCACAAACACAGCUAAGAUAUAUCCAAAUGGCAAGUUGCUCCUCCUUUCGCUUUUGCCGAGAGAGCAGUGCGUUUGAGCCAUUGAAUGAUGAACAGGAAAAACUUGACUUUAUUCUCCUGCCAUGGGGGGGCGCUCUUUUAAAAAGAAAAAACUCCUUCACAAAUGUGUUGAUGGCUGGACAUUGCAUCAUCCUAGAAAACAUGGAGGCCAGUGAGGACAAAAAUAAAAAGUUAUAAGACUUUUAAAUAUGUGGAUUUUAGGGUUAUCUUUGGCGCCCCCUAGAACCUAAACCGUGGGGUGCAGCGUCAUGAUUUGAAUAACUUUUAAUGGCCAUGGGGUGUAGAUUGGCCUGAGCAAAUGUGGUGCCGGUGGAACGAAAGCCUUCGGAGGAAUUAGCGAAAUUCCAAUGUGUGCGAAUCUGCAAAAAAUGCGAAAUAACCCUUUAACCGUACAUUUUACAGAUACGUGGCCAUUGACUUUUUCGAAGAUCUUAUGUAAAUACACGUGUAUGUAAAAUUUUGUGUCAAUACGACAAAACAUACAGGCGUAGCACUCAACAAUGUGUAUUUUCACCUUAGUGGACAAGAAAAAAUUGACUUUUUUCUCCUGCCAUGGGGGGGCGCUCUUUUGCCGAGUAAAAAUUCCUUCACAAAUGUGUUGAUGGCUGGACAUUGCAUCAUCCUAGAAAACUUGGAGGCCAGUGGGGACAAAAAUAAAAAGUUCUAAGACUUUUAAAUAUGUGGAUUUUACGGUUAUCUUUGGCUCCCCCUAGAACCUAAACCGUGGGGUGCAGCGUCAUGAUUUGAAUAACUUUUAAUGGCCAUGGGGUGUAGAUUGGCCUGAGCAAAUGUGGUGCCGGUGGAACGAAAGCCUUCGGAGGAGUUAGCAAAAUUCCAAUGUGUGCGGAUCGGCAAAAAAUGCGGAAUAACCCUUUAACCGUACAUUUGACAGAUACGCGCGCAUUGACUUUUUCGUAGAUCUUAUUGAGAUACAUGUGUGUGUCAAUUUUUGUGUCAUUUUGCCAAAGCGUACAGGUGUUACACUCAACAAUGUGUAUUUUCACCUUAGGGGACAAGAAAAAAUGGACUUUUUUCUCCUGCCAUGGGGGGGCGCUCUUUUGGGGAGUAAAAAUUCCUUCACAAAUGUGUUGAUGGCUGGACAUUGCAUCAUCCUAGAAAACUUGGAGGCCAGUGAGGGCAAAAAUAAAAAGUUAUAAGACUUUUAAAUAUGUGGAUCUUAGGGUUAUCUUUGGCGCCCCCUAGAACCUAAACCGUGGGGUGCAGCGUCAUGAUUUGAAUAACUUUUAAUGGCCAUGGGGUGUAGAUUGGCCUGAGCAAAUGUGGUGCCGGUGGAACGAAAGCCUUCGGAGGAGUUAGCGAAAUUCCAAUGUGUGCGGAUCGGCAAAAAAUGCGAAAUAACCCUUUAACCGUACAUUUGACAGAUACGCCCGCACUGACUUUUUUGUAGAUCUUAUUGAGAUACAUGUGUGUGUCAAUUUGUGUGUCAUUUUGACAAAGCGUACCGGCGUGACAGUGAAUAGUGUGAAUUUUCACCUUAGGGGGCGCUAUGGAGCCAUUUUGCAUUUUCUUGUUUGGGCGACUUCGGAAUAUCAAAUUUUUCACCAGGCCCGGUCGUCCUGCCAAAUUUCAUGAGUUUUCGCCAGUGGGAAGUGGGCCAUUUUCCAGUUCAAAGGGGAGGAAAAAUAAUAACUAGGGCCCCGUUGGGGCACUGGCGGGCCCGAGCCGUGUCGCACCCCCCCCAACGCGCUGCCUCCCCGUCCCAUUCGUGUCCUCUGGCCAUCGCCCUCUCUGGUAACGCCCAUCACUGCAAAGACCCUUUUCCUUCAUCGGCGUUUGCUGUUCUUCCUGCCAGUGCGUGUUGCUUUCACUUACACUUGCCACAGCCAGCCUCGUGAGUGCCUAGCCUAUUGGAUAUCACUGUCACCUACACAGGACAGUCAUUACCUUUCUAUUAAUACUUUGUUUUUAAUUUCACAUUAAUUUCCAUAUUGUAUAAACAACUUGAAAAAACUUGAGCCCCUGCCCCUGUAUUAUCAUGUGCACGUCCCUGUUCUAGCUCCAAGGUGAAUCUUCACUGCUCAUGUUCUCCUCAGAAGCAGUCACCUCACUCCCCUCAGGUUACUGUACACAUGCACCAACUGCCUGCUUCAGGUUUGGAUGGAGCUUCAUGGUUGUCUUUUGGAGAAAUGAGCAGUCAAGUUGUGUUUGAAAUUUGAUUUUUUUCAGGGGCAAAAGGAAGCCUCUGCAUUCUUGUCAAAUAUGUAAAUAGCAUGUUUUUGCAGGUGCUAAAAAACAGACUCUGAGUGUGUGUGUGUGUGUGUGUGUGUGUGUGUGUGUGUGUGUGCGUGUGUGUGUCUGUGUGUGUGUGUGUGUGUAUCCUGCAGUACUCUGAGAAGAAUAAUAAGCAUAUUUCUGAGGUGAAUUUUGAAGAUUCAUCUGAGAGUUAGGUUUGAUUCGAUUCGAUUGACGCUCCCCAGCGUUCAAGCCACAUGACAUAUUUAACCGGAUGUAGCUGCAAUACGGAGCCUCGUUAACUCUCCGUUUCAACUUAUCUCAAAAGUGAGGACCUCAACCUAUAUACCAGUUUUUAAAUUGUGUUGAUAGGCCAAAUAAAACCAGAGUUAUGAUAAAUUAUGUCCGCGAUACUUUUUUUCUGCUUAUUUUGAUCACGUUCGGCGCUCGAUCGCGCUGUAUGAGACAGGAAAACAUAGCAUGCACACAUUAGCGACAGGUCUUACAGGCGGAAAAGGCUUGCCAAAAGAAAAAAAAAACACACCACAACAUCUCUCCUAUUGGUGGAAAACUUCACCACAACAACCAAUCCAAAAUUAUAUGGUGACUGAUUGACAAGGGGCGGGCGCUUACGUUCUUCCUGCAACAUGAGAAGGGAGGGAGGGACUCUCAGCAGGGAUGCAGUCUGGGACACGUAGUUGCAAACCUAGCGACUUUGUUGUUAGAUUCAAUUACUUUUCAGACCCCCUAACGACUUUUUUUUUGAAAGAAAGGGACUUUUAUCGACUUCUUCUGGAGUUUAGAGACUCUGACAUGAAGCAGGCUUUCCUUACUGAGGAGUUAGCAACGCUGCUAAGGGUGCAGAGCCACACAUGCGCUCCGAGCUCUGCAUGGGAGACUGAAGCUGACAGAGCUGCAGCAGUUAGCAGGUUUCACCCUCAGAGACCACCAGGGGUUCAUGUUGAGGCAUUUUCAGUUUUUGUUUUUUUUGCCAUAGACUGUCAGCACAAUCUGCAGUUACACUAACAAAAAUGCUGCAAAAAACAAAGAAUUAUGGAAAAAUUACACAUGGACUGACAUAGAGGAGGAUCUACACAAGUUUUUUACAUCAUGUUUUACAUCAUGCAUCAUUUACAUCAUGUUUUUUUGUAGUGGCAUAAAUAAAAAGUGACAUUUGUGAGCCUAUACAGUUUUUUGUAAAUAAUUUUACAAAGAACGCCUGGGCCAUUGCCUGCAUUUUGAUGUAAAUAGAGGUAAAUUAUUAUGUUCUUUGUUAAAAAUUUGCAUAUGUUUUGAAGUUUACAAUUUUUAUUUGAAGUUUAAGUUUUAAAAACAGUUCAUCACACAUAUUUGUGGUUUAAUUUCACAUUAAUUUCCAUAUUGUAUAAAUGACUGGAAAAAACUUGAGCCCCUGCCCCUGUAUAAUCAUGUGCACGUCCCUGUUCUAGCUCCAAGGUGAAUCUUCACUGCUCAUGUUCUCCUCAGAAGCAGUCACCUCACUCCCCUCAGGUUACUGUACACAUGCACCAACUAUCUGCUUCAGGUUUGGAUGGAGCUUCAUGGUUGUCUUUUGGAGAAAUGAACAGUCAAGUUGUGUUUGAAAUCUGAUUUUUUUCAGGGGCAAAAGGAAGCCUCUGCAUUCUUGUCAAAUAUGUAAACAGCAUGUUUUUGCAGGUGCUAAAAAACAGACUCUGAGUGUGUGUGUGUGUGUGUGUGUGUGUGUGUGUGUGUGUGUGUGUGUGUGUGUGUGUGUGUAUAUAUGUGUGUGUAUCCUGCAGUACUCUGUACUCCUGCAGUGGCCAAAAAGACUUUUAAGAAUGUGGAUUUUUGGGUCAUCUUUGGCGCCCCCUAGAACUGCAGUACUCUGUACUCCUGCAGUGGCCAAAAUGACUUUUAAGAAUGUGGAUUUUUGGGUCAUCUUUGGCGCCCCCUAGAACGUAAACCGUGGGGUGCAGCGUCAUGAUUUUUACAACUUUGAAUGGGCAUGGGGUGUAGAUUGCCCUGAGCAAAUUUGGUAUCAGUGGGACGAAAGUCUUAGGAGGAGAUAGCCACAUUCCAAUGUGUGCGAAUCGGCAAAAAAUGCGAAAUAGCCCUUUAACCUUACAUUAUACAGAUACGCGCUUUUUGACUUUUUUGUAGAUCUAAUUGAGAUACACAUGAUUGUCAAUUUUUGUGUCAAUAUGACAAAGCGUUCAGGCGUGACACUCAACAAUGUGUAUUUUCAUGUAAGGGGACAAGAAAAAAAGGACUUUUUUCUCCUGCCAUGGGGGGGCGCUCUUUUGGGGAGUAAAAAUUCCUUCACAAAUGUGUUGAUGGCUGGACAUUGCAUCAUCCUAGAAAACUUGGAGGCCAGUGAGGACAAAAAUAAAAAGUUAUAAGACUUUUAAAUAUGUGGAUUUUUGGGUUAUCUUUGGCGCCCCCUAGAACCUAAACCGUGGGGUGCAGCGUCAUGAUUUGAAUAACUUUUAAUGGCCAUGGGGUGUAGAUUGGCCUGAGCAAAUGUGGUGCCGGUGGAACAAAAGCCUUCGGAGGAGUUAGCGAAAUUCCAAUGUGUACGGAUCGCCAAAAAAUGCGAAAUAGCCCUUUAACCGUACAUUUGACAGAUACGCCCGCACUGACUUUUUUGUAGAUCUUAUUGAGAUACAUAUGUGUGUCAAAUUUUGUGUCAUUUUGACAAAGCGUACAGGCGUGACAGUCAAUAGUGUGAAUUUCCACCUUAGGGGGCGCUAUGGAGCCAUUUUGCAUUUUAUUGUUUGGGCGACUUCAGAAUAUCAAAUUUUUCACCAGGCCCGGUCGUCCUGCCAAAUUUCAUGAGUUUUCGCCAGUGGGAAGUGGGCCAUUUUCCAGUUCAAAGGGGAGGAAAAAUAAUAAUAAUAAUAAUAAUAACAAACUAGGACCCCGUUGGGGCACUGGCGGGCCCGAGCCGUGUCCCCCCCCCCAACGCGCUGCCUCCCCGUCCCAUUUGUGUCCUCUGGCCAUCGCCCUCUCUGGUAACGCCCAUCACUGCAAAGACCCUUUUCCUUCAUCGGCGUUUGCUGUUCUUCCUGCCAGUGCGUGUUGCUUUCACUUACACUUGCCACAGCCAGCCUCGUGAGUGCCUAGCCUAUUCGAUAUCACUGUCGCCUACACAGGACAGUCAUUACCUUUCUAUUAAUACUUUGUGUUUUAAUUUCACAUUAAUUUCCAUAUUGUAUAAACGACUGGAAAAAACUUGAGCCCCUGCCCCUGUAUAAUCAUGUGCAUGUCUCUGUUCUAGCUCCAAGGUGAAUCUUCACUGCUCAUGUUCUCCUCAGAAG